Non-coding RNA from Pelobates cultripes (western spadefoot toad), 222 nucleotides. Lineage: Eukaryota; Metazoa; Chordata; Amphibia; Anura; Pelobatidae. The record is from the annotation of a GenBank genome assembly.
CUCCUCCCCCCCACCACCCUUUUUAGAUAUCUGAUUUAGGUGCCUUCUCAGUGGUCAUACUGUUUUAUUGUGGGGGGCCAUUUUACCUGCAUUUCUCCGUUCUUUGACCUUCCACCUAAUGUCUUUUAUGCGCUCUAUGUCCAUAAGUUUGGCCUGCUUUGUCUGUGCCCAUAGAUUGGCCUGCUUUGCCUGUGCCCAUAAGAUUGGCCUGCUUUGUCUGUG